This 568-nucleotide ribosomal RNA is filed under the name Streptomyces sp. 434D10. RNAcentral describes it as "bacterial SSU rRNA". It matches the Rfam family "Bacterial small subunit ribosomal RNA", at positions 93 to 675 of the family's 1533-position model. The record is from RNAcentral. Lineage: Bacteria; Bacillati; Actinomycetota; Actinomycetes; Kitasatosporales; Streptomycetaceae.
UAGUGGCGAACGGGUGAGUAACACGUGGGCAAUCUGCCCUUCACUCUGGGACAAGCCCUGGAAACGGGGUCUAAUACCGGAUAACACUGCGGAUCGCAUGGUCUGCGGUUAAAAGCUCCGGCGGUGAAGGAUGAGCCCGCGGCCUAUCAGCUUGUUGGUGAGGUAGUGGCUCACCAAGGCGACGACGGGUAGCCGGCCUGAGAGGGCGACCGGCCACACUGGGACUGAGACACGGCCCAGACUCCUACGGGAGGCAGCAGUGGGGAAUAUUGCACAAUGGGCGAAAGCCUGAUGCAGCGACGCCGCGUGAGGGAUGACGGCCUUCGGGUUGUAAACCUCUUUCAGCAGGGAAGAAGCGAAAGUGACGGUACCUGCAGAAGAAGCGCCGGCUAACUACGUGCCAGCAGCCGCGGUAAUACGUAGGGCGCAAGCGUUGUCCGGAAUUAUUGGGCGUAAAGAGCUCGUAGGCGGCUUGUCACGUCGAUUGUGAAAGCCCGAGGCUUAACCUCGGGUCUGCAGUCGAUACGGGCUAGCUAGAGUGUGGUAGGGGAGAUCGGAAUUCCUGGUG